Molecule: ribosomal RNA, 274 nt
Filed under: uncultured bacterium
Lineage: Bacteria
Description: partial 16S ribosomal RNA
Rfam family: Bacterial small subunit ribosomal RNA
Source: RNAcentral
AUACGGAGGGUGCGAGCGUUGUUCGGAAUCACUGGGCGUAAAGGGCGCGCAGGCGGUUUGUCAAGUCAGAUGUGAAAGGCCACGGCUCAACCGUGGAGGUGCAUCUGAAACUGGCAGACUUGAGUACCGGAGGGGAAAGUGGAAUUCCCGGUGUAGAGGUGAAAUUCGUAGAUAUCGGGAGGAACACCGGAGGCGAAGGCGACUUUCUGGACGGAUACUGACGCUGAGGCGCGAAAGCGUGGGGAGCAAACAGGAUUAGAUACCCCAGUAGUCC